GGAUUGUGGCUCAGCGGUAGAGUUCUCGCCUAGCGCAAACGAGACCCGGGUUCAAUCCUCAGCACCA
RNAcentral lists this transfer RNA (67 nucleotides) under Marmota monax (woodchuck). RNAcentral's name for it is "tRNA.Ala". The record is from RNAcentral. Lineage: Eukaryota; Metazoa; Chordata; Mammalia; Rodentia; Sciuridae.